CAGUAGCCGCGGUAAUACAGAGGAUGCAAGCGUUAUCCGGAUGAUUGGGCGUAAAGCGUCUGUAGGUGGCUUUUCAAGUCCGCCGUCAAAUCCCAGGGCUCAACCCUGGACAGGCGGGGGAAACUACCGAGCUGGAGUACGGUAGGGGCAGAGGGAAUUUCCGGUGGAGCAGUGAAAUGCAUUGAGAUCAGAAAGAACACCAACGGCGAAAGCACUCUGCUGGGCCGACACUGACACUGAGAGACGAAAGCUAGGGGAGCAAAUGGGAUUAGAUACCCCUGUAGUCCCUGUCUCUUAUCAC
RNAcentral lists this ribosomal RNA (301 nucleotides) under uncultured bacterium. Its description in RNAcentral is "partial 16S ribosomal RNA". It matches the Rfam family "Bacterial small subunit ribosomal RNA", at positions 509 to 810 of the family's 1533-position model. The record is from RNAcentral.